Molecule: ribosomal RNA, 500 nt
Filed under: uncultured bacterium
Lineage: Bacteria
Description: partial 16S ribosomal RNA
Rfam family: Bacterial small subunit ribosomal RNA
Source: RNAcentral
AUUGAACGCUGGCGGAAUGCUUUACACAUGCAAGUCGAACGGCAGCACGGACUUCGGUCUGGUGGCGAGUGGCGAACGGGUGAGUAAUACAUCGGAACGUGCCCAGUCGUGGGGGAUAACGUAGCGAAAGCUACGCUAAUACCGCAUACGAUCUAAGGAUGAAAGCGGGGGAUCGCAAGACCUCGCGCGAUUGGAGCGGCCGAUGGCAGAUUAGGUAGUUGGUGGGGUAAAGGCUCACCAAGCCGACGAUCUGUAGCUGGUCUGAGAGGACGACCAGCGACACGGGGACUGGGAAACGGCCCAGACUCCUACGGGAGGCAGCAGUGGGGAAUUUUGGACAAUGGGCGCAAGCCUGAUCCAGCCAUGCCGCGUGCGGGAGGAAGGCCCUCGGGUUGUAAACUGCUUUUGUACGGAACGGAAAGGCUCUGGUUAAUACCUGGGGCUCAUGACGGUACCGUAAGAAUAAGCACCGGCUAACUACGUGCCAGCAGCCGCAGUAA